UUCUUGUUUGUUUUUAAGAAAUGUUUUCUGCUCGGUGGUGUUAAACAGCCGCGGUAAUUUGACCGUGCGAAGGUAGCAUAAUCAUUUGCCUUGUAAUUUGGGGCUGGAAUGAAUGGAAUUACAGAGGAUUGUCUUUCUUUUCUUUUUUGGUAGAAUUUGUUUUUUGUGUGAGGAGACACAGAUGAAGUAAAGGGACAAGAAGACCCUUUUGAGCUUUAUUUUAUUUUAUCUUUUUAUCUUAGUUUAUUAGAUUUAUGAAAUUUGGUUGGGGCGACCGAGGAAGAUGAGAUCUUCCUUUUAGUUAAUUGGUAAUUUAUUGUGUUUUUUGUUGUGGCAUAUUAUUUUUGAUCCUUAUUUUUUGAUUGAAAGAUUAAGUUACCAAAGGGAUAACAGCGUAAUUAUCUUUGUGAGUUCUUAUUAAAGAGAUAGAUUGCGACCUCGAUGUUGACUUUUAGUUCCUUUUUGGUGUAGUAGCUGUUUUAUAGGAGGUCUGUUCGACCUUUAAAUCUAGACGUGAGUUGAGUUCAGACCGGCGUGA
This 538-nucleotide ribosomal RNA is filed under the name Polystilifera sp. Hoplo_CB109_CB109_18_01. Its description in RNAcentral is "partial 16S ribosomal RNA". It matches the Rfam family "Bacterial large subunit ribosomal RNA", at positions 1832 to 2624 of the family's 2925-position model. Lineage: Eukaryota; Metazoa; Nemertea; Enopla; Polystilifera. The record is from RNAcentral.